RNA transcript from Oncorhynchus kisutch (coho salmon), 8902 nucleotides. It is a transcript of the gene named pleckstrin homology domain-containing family A member 7, with no coding region annotated. The transcript is spliced from 25 exons. The record is from RefSeq and is a predicted model, not a curated record. NCBI's taxonomy places the organism in Eukaryota, Metazoa, Chordata, Actinopteri, Salmoniformes, Salmonidae.
AAGACAGAGGAUGAGAACGCAAAACAGAGGGAGGGGAUGAGAGGGAGGACGAACAUUUCAUGGGACUUAGAGGGGGAAAUAGAGUGUGGGAGACGAAAACAGAGGGAAGGCUACAUGGGGAAAGAUUAGACGAGUUUGUCCUCCUAAGGCAGAGUUGAGGGAUGGGGACCUGCUUUAGCUGUGACCCGGCUAGAGACUCGGGUCCCGAACUGGUUCCCGUCAAGCGUCAUGUCACCCGGCCGAGACGAACCAAGGCUAUCGCUAGCGUAGAUCGAUGGGAUCUGAUAUGCAACACCAGCCAUAACCAGAGGACCACGACGUUCCGGCACCCCGUGACGGGACAGAUGUCUCAGGAGAACGUUGGUUUUAUCCUCCAAGAAAUGCCCGGCGGCCGCAUGUCAAACCCCCAGCAAGCCGACUUGAGGCCCUCCAGCACCAUCAGCGAGGCUUCCACCGCCGUCACCACCUCCACCGUGGACACCACCUCGGGGUCAAAGGGAUCCAGGUCCAGUGGGAGGGUGCACAGUUUUGGGAAGCGAGAGCAGUCCAUCAAGAGGAACCCCAAUGUCCCCGUGGUGGUAAGAGGAUGGCUCUACAAACAGGAUGGCUCUGGAAUGAGGCUUUGGAAGAGGAAGUGGUUUGUGCUGGCUGACUACUGUCUGUUCUACUAUAAAGACAGCAGGGAGGAGUCAGUCCUGGGUAGUAUUCCUCUGCCCAGCUAUGUCGUCUCAGCCGUGGAGCCUGAGGACCACAUCAGCCGCAAGUACGCCUUCAAGGCUAACCACACGGGCAUGCGCUCGUACAUUUACAACCGGAGCACUGUGAUUGACUCGCAGGCGGAGCACGGCGGCAUGCGGACGUACUUCUUCAGCGCCGACACGCAGGAGGACGUGAACGGCUGGGUGAAGGCCAUGAACCAGGCGGCGCUGAUGCAGAACCAAACCGACAGCCUCAAGAGGCCGUCGGAAACAUCGGAGAUGCCCAACACGUCGGAACGCAAGGGGGUCCCCCAAACCAACCACGUCAACAACUACACAAAGACCUCACGCGAACCCCGAGCCGACCUCCAUCUCCAUAGCGAUGGAGUGGUCCUCGAACCUGCCGAUAUCCGAGAAACCGAGGAGCGCCGUAGCUUCCGGAAUGACACACUCAAUCCCAUCACUUCCAAGAUUCCUUCCCUCGGCGGCGGAAGCGUGGAAAUUGAAAUGGACGCCGUCCCUCCUAACAGUCUCCCUCCGCUUCCCUCCCUAACUCCUGACUCCGCCUCCGCACCCACAUCCGCGCCCCCCUCCAGGGCGCCGUCACGUGCCCCGUCGCGCGGCGCCUUCACCCUGCCCCCCGGGGCCUGUCUGAGGAACGGGACACCCACUCCGGAACCCAACGGGAUGGGGACGGGGACGUACCAGAGGUCCACGCUGACCCCCCAGGUGGUUGACACUCAAAGGCAGGUGCAGAGGAGGAGCGCCCUGGAGCAGGUGGAGCACUGGGUCAAGGUGCAGAAGGCCGAGCACAAAGGCCCCCCCUCAAGAGGGGGCACCCUCCCCCGUCACAGCCCCCCGACCGCCGCGCGCCAAGGGGAGUACAAAUACGCACAGGACCGCCUCAGCCACUUCCGACUCGGACCCUCAGACCCCCAGGGUACCGGCACCAGGGACGGGGGUGGCAUCGGUGGGCCUGGCACCGUGUGGCAGCUCUACGAGUGGCAGCAGCGCCACCAGUUCCGCCACGGCAGUCCCACUGCCCCCCUCUACACACCUGCCCCGGACUACCCCUUCGGGCCCAGGCCCCCCUCCACGGUGCCCCCCUCGGCCCCGCGACCCAGUUCUGAGGUUCCCCGCUGUGUGUCGGUGCCCCCAGACCCCUCCGAUAUCCUCCCACCGGGCCCCCAGAGCUCCAGGGCCCUGUCCCCGCCACGGAGGCCCCACACACCCGCUAACCGGGUGGUGGUAAUGCCCCAGGAGGGGAGAGAUGCACUGGACAUGCCGGUGGCUGGGUCCCCACGAAGAGCCAAGUCUCAACUACUAAAGGCUGCCACCAUCGAGAGACGGUCCAUGCCUCCCUCCAACUACAUCACACACACGGUCAGCGCGCCCAGCCUUCACGGGAAAACGCCUGAGGAGCUCACCCUCCUGCUCAUUCAGCUCCGGAGGCAUCAGGCAAAGAUGGCCGCCGCUCGCCACCACACGCUAACCCAGCUGCAGCACUUCAACUACAGCCCUUCUGGCCCCCACUUCCUCACCACCAAAACCAACCCUCUCUUCUCCUCCGGCCCUUCUUAUCUGGGGCCCUUCCUAGGCCCCAUGGGCCACGGCAGCAGCAGCCAGGUUGACGAUACGUACAUGCAACUGAAGAAAGACCUGGAGUAUCUAGACUUGAAGGUGGUUGGAAGUCAGACGUUGAAAGAAGCAACGAGACCCGUCAGAGUAGCCGAGAGUGACGUGGAUGUGAAACUCAGUCGGUUAUGUGAGCAGGACAAGACCCUGAAGGAACUGGAGGUCCGGAUCUGCUCACUAAAGGAGGAUAAGGACAAGCUGGAGUCGGUGCUGGACGUGUCCCACCAACAGAUGGAGCUGUACAGAGACCAGGCAGCCCACCUGGAGAAGAUAGCCUACCAGCAGAGACUCCUACAGGAGGACGUGGUGCACAUCAGGGCCGAGAUCUCCAGCGCGUCCACGGAGAUGGCCCGGGCCUGGGAGGACUACAGCAGGCUGGAGAGCUCUGUGGAGCAGUUGAGGGCCGUGCUAGAGGCACACAUGAACCACAGCGCCACCCCUCAGCAGGAGAAAACAGAGAUAAAGCGGGAGCUGUGGAGGAUAGAGGACGUGAUGGCAGGACUGAGCUCCAGCAAAGCCAACUACAAGAUCACAAUCGACUCAGUGCAGAACCCAGAGAGGAAACUAGUGGCUUCAGUGCCAGACCCUGCAGUGCCUUCGCAGAGCACGACGCCCCCCGUAGGGGAGGUUAGGCCCCCUCCUCGCAGCUCCUACACGCUGCCUCACAACCCCGUGCCAAAAUGGGCAGAAGAUGAGGCUCCUCCCAGACCACCCCUGCCCUGCCUCUACGAUUAUGAAGACCCGCCCCCCGCCAUCCCACCCCUCCCCAAAGAGGCGUCGGUGGUAGUACGACACACGUCGGUUCGCGGGCUCAAACGCCAGUCGGACGAGAGGAAGAGGGACCGAGAGAGCGGAGGGUGUGUCAACGGAGACUUUAAAGUGGAGCUGCGGUCAUACCUGAGUGAACCAGAACUGCCAGGGACGGGCCAGAGCAGCACAGGGUCUGAGGGGGGCUACCAAACCCUCCCAAACAAAGGUCUGUCGGGCUCAUCGCCGAGGCUGAACCAGUCCAGUAACAUCUCCUCCUACGUGACCCUGAGGAGGGGGGCGGCCGCCUCUGCAGAGAGGGAGAGACCUAAGAGUGCUUUGGAGCAGCUGUACUCCUCUGGCCAGCAGCCCCAGCCUCUGGCCCAGGCCCCCCGGGGCCGCAUGAGCGCAGAGGAGCAGCUGGAGCGCAUGAAGAGGCACCAGAGGGCCCUGGUGCGCGAGCGCAAGAGGAACCUCAGCCAGGGAGAACGCCACUCCAACACUGCUCAUCGUACCUCCUCCUCCACCAGGGCUCUCUCCUCCACUGACUUGGGCUCAGUACGUUACCCCCGCAGCAGAAGCAGGGACCACUGCCACUGUCGCGCCCCCGCCGAACCCCCCACAUAGGCGCGCCGCAAUUGCUAACAUGCUAACAUCCCCUACUCACCCUCUCCCCCAUGUGUAACCAAUGGCACUAACAUGAGUAAGCGUUAGCAUCGUGCUAGCACGCGAAGGGCCGGUGGGACUGGAUGGGACAAAGCCGUGGCUGGCUGGGCUUAUAGAGCGGUUGGACUGUGCGUGGUGGAGGCUGCUUGGGAGAGUAGGGGAAGGGAUAUCUGUCGAAGAUGGGGACUGUAAAGACAGAGCUGUUUCCCAUAUUAAGGUGUAUGUAUGGGUUGCGUUUACCCCGAUCACUGGUGCCCCCGUGCGGUACCUCACUGACACACACUGAAUGUAUUUCAAGGAGAAGAAGAGGGGGAUUGGCUACAGGCAUAGCUCUGCCUUCCCGCUCUGUCACGAGAAAAGAAAAGCCCAUUCUAUGUACAUUUACACUUAUGUACAUUAGUAUUUAUUUACUGAAGGAUAUUUUCAGUAGCCUAUACAUUUGUAAAAUUAUAUUUUAUAGAGAUUUGAUAAAAUUAGGGAUGAGGAAAUGUGUAUCAUUAUUUGAACAAAUCAACUUGGUGGGAAGUGGCACAAAUCAUUAUCAAACCGCCCUCCUCCCUCCAUCUUUCAAAUGAUAUGAAUCGAAUGAAAUCAAAGUGCCUUUAGUUCCCGGUGAAUAAUCAUUCCUCUUCUCACAAGAUUCACCUUCAGCCUCACCUUUUUCCACCCUGUUUGUCUUAUGGCGUUGCUAUGGCUACCACAGAAUCCCAUUCAAAUGAGCCUUCAGAUAGUUGUCUGUUUGAAGUUUGUUGUGCGUGCCAACGUAGGAGAGUCAACCUUACGAAGACUAAUUUAACCAUCUAAUAUAUUAUCUAACACACAAUCUUCACCAGAUUGCUGUGAGAUCAUCAAUACCCUCAAACUCCUUGCUACAUUUGCCAUCAACCCAAAAGCUCCUACUAACAUUUGGCAACACAUAGUUCAACUCCUUUCAUUUUGUAACGCUUCACCAUAAUAGCCAAGAGAUUUUAGGAUCCCUCUUUUUUGGGGGGGCAUUUGAAUAAUUUCUUCCCCACCGUGACACACUAAACAGUCGCUUAUUCACAGCAUUUAGUUUUUAGUUUCUGCUACAUCGACAUUAUCACUUUUGUACUUAACCGUGGUUGAUCGCUACAAUGGCCUACUAUUCCGGUCAAGGUCAUAGUGAGUAUUAAGCCUAUCUGCUUCACUGCAAAUGAAAGGACAGGAGGGGGGGGGGGGGUAAAAUGGCUGCCGCCAGCUUACCGUCAAGGCAGGUUCCACCAUGUUGCUUUUCCCCGUCCCAAUUGAUUGAUUGAUUUUUUUUAGCAGUGAGGAUGUACAGAAAAUUGCACAGUCACUAGAGUCACUAGCGAAUGCUAAAUUAUACUGAGAGGCAACGCACAGCUCCUUCACGCCUGUUAUUUUCCAAUGUAGAGAUUUGCGCUCGAGAAUAAAAUCAUUUUGCUUCAAAAAACUAAAUAAAAUCACCUCUGGCUGUGUGUUUCCAUUUUUGCGGGGGUUUGAUGAAUAUGUAAUGCAUGUAUUUUCCCUGUGGGGGGGUCCUCUGUCCAGUGAGCACAAUAACGCAUGUGAUGCACUUUCUCCUCACAUCACGGGAGGCCUACACGCACUGGAGUGGCAAUGAUGCAUGCAUGGGUUUGAGGGCUAGGACACACACAUAACAACACACAUACAGUACAAACAGAGAUUUACUCACAACACAAAUGUGUUUAUGUAUGUGUUUGGAAAAGCAAAUGUGUGUGUGUGUGUGGUAACAGGUUAAUCAGUAUCCUUUUGGUGGUUGCUUCUUUAUGUUGCUGUCAUUAAUCUAAUAAUGAAAUCCUCUUUCUGGUGAUCCUGAAAACAAUUAAAUGCAAUGAAGUUGCUGGUGGUGGAAUGGAGACGCCGUAGGGACGUCCUGUGGUGACAAUGCAGAAGCCAAGAAAGACAAGAUUUCGGAUGCAUGGUCCUCACUCCUCAAGACUCCAUUUGUCCCCGCAACACAGAAGCUGUCCAUCCUCAUGGGACUAGGAUUUGUGCUGUGAAAUCAGCUCCAGAUACAAUAUACAUUACUUUACGGGGUUUUUUUUCCUCUGGGUUCUACACAGGGUGGUCCAAUCUGUGCUGGUGUUGUCUCCUAGUGUGAAAUAAUAAGUAAAAAAAAGACUUUUUAUUUUGCCUCUGAAAAUCAACCAGAUGAAGUAACUGUUGUGUUUGUCCCCCCCCAGUGGUCAGAUAGAGUAACUGUUGUGUUUGUCCCCCCCCAGUGGUCAGAUAGAGUAACUGUUGUGUUUGUCCCCCCCCAGUGGUCAGAUAGAGUAACUGUUGUGUUUGUCCCCCCCAGUGGUCAGAUAGAGUAACUGUUGUGUUUGUCCCCCCCAGUGGUCAGAUAGAGUAACUGUUGUGUUUGUCCCCCCCAGUGGUCAGAUAGAGUAACUGUUGUGUUUGUCCCCCCCCAGUGGUCAGAUAGAGUAACUGUUGUGUUUGUCCCCCCCCCAGUGGUCAGAUAGAGUAACUGUUGUGUUUGUCCCCCCCCAGUGGUCAGAUAGAGUAACUGUUGUGUUUGUCCCCCCCCAGUGGUCAGAUAGAGUAACUGUUGUGUUUGUCCCCCCCAGUGGUCAGAUAGAGUAACUGUUGUGUUUGUCCCCCCCAGUGGUCAGAUAGAGUAACUGUUGUGUUUGUCCCCCCCAGUGGUCAGAUAGAGUAACUGUUGUGUUUGUCCCCCCCAGUGGUCAGAUAGAGUAACUGUUGUGUUUGUCCCCCCCAGUGGUCAGAUAGAGUAACUGUUGUGUUUGUCCCCCCCAGUGGUCAGAUAGAGUAACUGUUGUGUUUGUCCCCCCCAGUGGUCAGAUAGAGUAACUGUUGUGUUUGUCCCCCCCCAGUGGUCAGAUAGAGUAACUGUUGUGUUUGUCCCCCCCCCCAGUGGUCAGAUAGAGUAACUGUUGUGUUUGUCCCCCCCCAGUGGUCAGAUAGAGUAACUGUUGUGUUUGUCCCCCCCCAGUGGUCAGAUAGAGUAACUGUUGUGUUUGUCCCCCCCAGUGGUCAGAUAGAGUAACUGUUGUGUUUGUCCCCCCCAGUGGUCAGAUAGAGUAACUGUUGUGUUUGUCCCCCCCAGUGGUCAGAUAGAGUAACUGUUGUGUUUGUCCCCCCCAGUGGUCAGAUAGAGUAACUGUUGUGUUUGUCCCCCCCAGUGGUCAGAUAGAGUAACUGUUGUGUUUGUCCCCCCCCAGUGGUCAGAUAGAGUAACUGUUGUGUUUGUCCCCCCCCAGUGGUCAGAUAGAGUAACUGUUGUGUUUGUCCCCCCCAGUGGUCAGAUGAAGUAACUGUUGUGUUUGUCCCCCUCCAGUGGUCAGAUAGAGUAACUGUUGUGUUUGUCCCCCUCCAGUGGUCAGAUAGAGUAACUGUUGUGUUUGUCCCCCCCAGUGGUCAGAUAGAGUAACUGUUGUGUUUGUCCCCCCCAGUGGUCAGAUAGAGUAACUGUUGUGUUUGUCCCCCCCAGUGGUCAGAUAGAGUAACUGUUGUGUUUGUCCCCCCCCAGUGGUCAGAUAGAGUAACUGUUGUGUUUGUCCCCCCCCAGUGGUCAGAUAGAGUAACUGUUGUGUUUGUCCCCCCCAGUGGUCAGAUGAAGUAACUGUUGUGUUUGUCCCCCCCCAGUGGUCAGAUAGAGUAACUGUUGUGUUUGUCCCCCCCAGUGGUCAGAUAGAGUAACUGUUGUGUUUGUCCCCCCCAGUGGUCAGAUAGAGUAACUGUUGUGUUUGUCCCCCCCCCCAGUGGUCAGAUAGAGUAACUGUUGUGUUUGUCCCCCUCCAGUGGUCAGAUGAAGUAACUGUUGUGUUUGUUCCCCCCAGUGGUCAGAUGAAGUAACUGUUGUGUUUGUCCCCCCCAGUGGUCAGAUGAAGUAACUGUUGUGUUUGUUCCCCCCAGUGGUCAGAUGAAGUAACUGUUGUGUUUGUCCCCCCCAGUGGUCAGAUGAAUUAACUGUUGUUUGUUCCCCCUCGUGGUCAGAUGAAGUAGAAGUCGGUCUCCCCCUAGUGGUCAGAUAAAGUAACCGUUGUUUGCCCCUCCACUAGUGGUCAGAUAAAGUAAUGGUUGUGUCUGUCUCCCCCUAGUGGUCAGAUAUAGUAAUUGUUGUGUCUGUCUCCCCCUAGUGGAGGCGAGAGCAGCAGGACUUUGAUUUGCAGCUGGUGCAGAAAGCUCAGGUGGAAGAGCGACAGGUUGCCGAGGGCCAGAGCGACGAGGGGCGGAGCGAGCUGAAGGAAAGGGAGAGGAUCCAAUCAGACGAUUGGCUCUUGGUCAUGGCCAUGCCCACGAUUGCCACACCCAUGAGGGAGACGGACAUGGAGCCCCUCGACUAUGACCUGGAUCUCAGUCGUGAGCUUUCCAAGCCCCAAAAGGUGUCUAUCCCAGAGCGCUAUGUGGAGUCGGACCCCGAGGAGCCUCUGAGUCAGGAGGAGAUGGAGGAUCGUCAACGCAGAGCAGAACGCAUCAAAAACAUCCUGGCCAAAUCCAAUUUUCACAACAUACACCCGUCGUCUGUCCCACUGAACUUCACUGAUUUGGACAUUGCCAUGCAACAGCAGGAGAGGAUCAUGACUGUGUCCCACGCCUUGGCCUCGGAAGCCUCCGUUAAGAGCAAGCAGUUCACAGCCAAAGCUCAGCUGAGCUCUGACUGACCGUUGACUCAGACGCCAAGGCACCAACAGGACCUCCAAGGCACCAACUGGACCUCCGUGUGGAUGAAAAUUGUUUGUGACGUUCACUGACAAGUGAUUUUGUAUUAGGCUUUUUAUUAGAGCUAAAACGAGAUGUUUUGAAGAACCAAAAAUAGUUAUUUGAAACUACACUGCGUGUACCUAAUGUUAAGGUUGAAUUGGAGUUGUUUUUACAUGCUUUUGCACUUUUAUGGCGUGUUGUGUGGAAUUAUUGACACCUACUAGUUUUUGCAAUAGAGAGUAAUUAGCUGUUUUUUUUUUGCAGUGUGGUCUAUAUUUUCAACAGAAAUUUAAGUUCAAAGCAAUGUUUUCUAAGGUCGCAGAUAAGGAAAUGUAUUUAUUUUGUGUAAUGAAAGAAUCUUGCACCAAAUAUAACUUUUUGUAGCUCAGCAAUGCCACCUAAUGCUUUGGCCAAUCAACUGUAUCAUUUAAAAAGGAAAGAAACCAUACUGGUGUUUUAUUGGAAUAAAGGUUUUAACAAAA